UCUUCUGUAUACCUGUUUUCUGGUUUAUAUUUGUAGCUCUGCCACUAUGAACUAAUAUUUGUUUGAGAUUAUAGGUCUCGCAAUUUGUUUGUAUAUUUUUCAGGUUGUCGCAGAACGGGCUGGACAGUUGCAAAACAACCUGAAAAUUAUGGCGGUUAAAACUCCCGAAAAAACACAAAAUAAACCGCCGUAAAAGCCCUUAUUUCUUGUAGUGUCAAACGUUUGUUUAAAAAAUUUGUUUCCCUCCAAAUGAGUUGCGAGAUGGUGUAUUUAUUAAAUUUUUUUU
Molecule: long non-coding RNA, 286 nt
Filed under: Lathyrus oleraceus (garden pea)
Lineage: Eukaryota; Viridiplantae; Streptophyta; Magnoliopsida; Fabales; Fabaceae
Description: Pisum sativum (pea) long non-coding RNA (PSAT_LNC023060)
Source: RNAcentral